RNAcentral lists this ribosomal RNA (559 nucleotides) under uncultured bacterium. RNAcentral describes it as "partial 16S ribosomal RNA". It matches the Rfam family "Bacterial small subunit ribosomal RNA", at positions 355 to 905 of the family's 1533-position model. The record is from RNAcentral.
UGGGGAAUUUUGGACAAUGGGGGAAACCCUGAUCCAGCCAUCCCGCGUGUGCGAUGAAGGCCUUCGGGUUGUAAAGCACUUUUGGCAGGAAAGAAACGUCGUGGGUUAAUACCCCGCGAAACUGACGGUACCUGCAGAAUAAGCACCGGCUAACUACGUGCCAGCAGCCGCGGUAAUACGUAGGGUGCAAGCGUUAAUCGGAAUUACUGGGCGUAAAGCGUGCGCAGGCGGUUCGGAAAGAAAGAUGUGAAAUCCCAGAGCUUAACUUUGGAACUGCAUUUUUAACUACCGGGCUAGAGUGUGUCAGAGGGAGGUGGAAUUCCGCGUGUAGCAGUGAAAUGCGUAGAUAUGCGGAGGAACACCGAUGGCGAAGGCAGCCUCCUGGGAUAACACUGACGCUCAUGCACGAAAGCGUGGGGAGCAAACAGGAUUAGAUACCCUGGUAGUCCACGCCCUAAACGAUGUCAACUAGCUGUUGGGGUCUUCGGACCUUGGUAGCGCAGCUAACGCGUGAAGUUGACCGCCUGGGGGAGUACGGUCGCAAGAUUAAAAACUCAAA